This 500-nucleotide ribosomal RNA is filed under the name uncultured bacterium. Its description in RNAcentral is "partial 16S ribosomal RNA". It matches the Rfam family "Bacterial small subunit ribosomal RNA", at positions 30 to 523 of the family's 1533-position model. The record is from RNAcentral.
AUUGAACGCUGGCGGCAUGCUUUACACAUGCAAGUCGAACGGUAACAGGGUGCUUGCACCGCUGACGAGUGGCGAACGGGUGAGUAAUGCGUCGGAACGUGCCGAGUAGUGGGGGAUAGCGCAGCGAAAGUUGUGCUAAUACCGCAUACGUACUGAGGUAGAAAGUGGGGGACCUUCGGGCCUCACGCUAUUCGAGCGGCCGACGUCUGAUUAGCUAGUAGGUGAGGUAAAGGCUAACCUAGGCGACGAUCAGUAGCGGGUCUGAGAGGAUGAUCCGCCACACUGGGACUGAGACACGGCCCAGACUCCUACGGGAGGCAGCAGUGGGGAAUUUUGGACAAUGGGCGAAAGCCUGAUCCAGCCAUGCCGCGUGUCUGAAGAAGGCCUUCGGGUUGUAAAGGACUUUUGUCGGGGAGGAAAUCCCCAGCGUUAAUACCGCUGGGGGAUGACAGUACCUGAAGAAUAAGCACCGGCUAACUACGUGCCAGCAGCCGCCGUAA